UACGGAGGAUGCGAGCGUUAUCCGGAUUUAUUGGGUUUAAAGGGUGCGUAGGCGGACGCUUAAGUCAGCGGUACAAUUGCGGGGCUCAACCUCGUCGAGCCGUUGAAACUGGGUGCCUUGAGUGGGCGAGAAGUACGCGGAAUGCGUGGUGUAGCGGUGAAAUGCAUAGAUAUCACGCAGAACUCCGAUUGCGAAGGCAGCGUACCGGCGCCCAACUGACGCUGAAGCACGAAGGCGUGGGUAUCGAACAGG
This 252-nucleotide ribosomal RNA is filed under the name uncultured bacterium. RNAcentral describes it as "partial 16S ribosomal RNA". It matches the Rfam family "Bacterial small subunit ribosomal RNA", at positions 524 to 776 of the family's 1533-position model. The record is from RNAcentral.